CUUCCCAUUUAUUUGCUGCUAUAGUCUCAUAAUGAUACAAGCAGUUGUAUGCAUGGGAUAAAAUAAUAUUGGGACAUAUAAAUUGAAAUGAAGUAACCAUUUUCAUCUUUUCUGCAUGGACAAGACAUUA
Nomascus leucogenys (northern white-cheeked gibbon) is the source of this 130-nucleotide small nucleolar RNA. The record is from Ensembl. Lineage: Eukaryota; Metazoa; Chordata; Mammalia; Primates; Hylobatidae.